UACGAAGGGUGCAAGCGUUACUCGGAAUUACUGGGCGUAAAGCGUGCGUAGGUGGUUUGUUAAGUCUGCUGUGAAAGCCCCGGGCUCAACCUGGGAAUGGCAGUGGAUACUGGCAAGCUAGAGUGCGGUAGAGGGGUGUGGAAUUCCCGGUGUAGCGGUGAAAUGCGUAGAGAUCGGGAGGAACACCAGUCGGCGAAGGCGGCACCCUGGACCAGCACUGACCACUGAGGCACGAAAGCGUGGGGAGCAAACAGG
Molecule: ribosomal RNA, 255 nt
Filed under: uncultured bacterium
Lineage: Bacteria
Description: partial 16S ribosomal RNA
Rfam family: Bacterial small subunit ribosomal RNA
Source: RNAcentral